Molecule: ribosomal RNA, 265 nt
Filed under: uncultured bacterium
Lineage: Bacteria
Description: partial 16S ribosomal RNA
Rfam family: Bacterial small subunit ribosomal RNA
Source: RNAcentral
UGGCGACCGGCGCACGGGUGAGUAACACGUAUCCAACCUGCCGAUGACUCGGGGAUAGCCUUUCGAAAGAAAGAUUAAUACCCGAUGGCAUAGUUCUUCCGCAUGGUAGAACUAUUAAAGAAUUUCGGUCAUCGAUGGGGAUGCGUUCCAUUAGCUUGUUGGCGGGGUAACGGCCCACCAAGGCAUCGAUGGAUAGGGGGUUCUGAGAGGAAGGUCCCCCACAUUGGAACUGAGACACGGUCCAAACUCCUACGGAAGGCAGCAG